CCGCCGCCCUCCGGGGGCCGCAGCGCGAUCUCCAUGGCCCGGGGGCGGGGGGCAUGCUGGGCCCUGCCGGGCUCGCCGCUCCCGUCCGCUGCUCUCCGCCGGUCUGGUCGGGCGGGCAGGGCUGCUGGCUCCCGGGUCCUGACGUCAGGCUGCCACCGCCUCGCCUCAGACUCUGGGCUCUGGCAGCCGUUACCAAGCAGCCAAAAGCCUCCUUCCCGCAGACGCCACCCGCGGCCUCCGCCCACCGCGCCGUCUCCGCCCCGCGCCCCCUCCGGCCGGGCUGUAGUCCCGCAGGAGGGCAGGAGGGCAGGAGGGAGCCGCGCGCCGAGCCAGGAACAGGUAGAAAGGACCAAAGCCAGGAUUUGACCCAAGCUGUCAGGUGGAUGCCCUUGCUCCCUGCACUCCUCCCCUGC
This 413-nucleotide long non-coding RNA is filed under the name Heterocephalus glaber (naked mole-rat). RNAcentral describes it as "lncRNA (ENSHGLG00000043199.1)". The record is from RNAcentral. Lineage: Eukaryota; Metazoa; Chordata; Mammalia; Rodentia; Bathyergidae.